Molecule: transfer RNA, 83 nt
Filed under: candidate division WOR-1 bacterium RIFCSPHIGHO2_01_FULL_53_15
Lineage: Bacteria; Bacillati
Also listed under: 1 other name
Description: tRNA-Tyr
Rfam family: tRNA
About the family: Transfer RNA (tRNA) molecules are approximately 80 nucleotides in length. Their secondary structure includes four short double-helical elements and three loops (D, anti-codon, and T loops).
Source: RNAcentral
GGAGAGAUAGCAAAGUGGUUAAAUGCACCUGACUGUAAAUCAGGCGGCUUAUGCCUUCGGAGGUUCGAAUCCUCCUCUCUCCA